GACCUCGUAGCUCAACUGGAUAGAGCAACGGCCUUCUAAGCCGUAGGUUCUGGGUUCAAGUCCUAGCGGGGUCGCCA
This 77-nucleotide transfer RNA is filed under the name Paracoccaceae bacterium. RNAcentral's name for it is "Rhodobacteraceae bacterium (sponge metagenome) tRNA-Arg". It matches the Rfam family "tRNA". From Rfam's summary of the family: Transfer RNA (tRNA) molecules are approximately 80 nucleotides in length. Their secondary structure includes four short double-helical elements and three loops (D, anti-codon, and T loops). Further hydrogen bonds mediate the characteristic L-shaped molecular structure. tRNAs have two regions of fundamental functional importance: the anti-codon, which is responsible for specific mRNA codon recognition, and the 3' end, to which the tRNAs corresponding amino acid is attached (by aminoacyl-tRNA synthetases). tRNAs cope with the degeneracy of the genetic code in two manners: having more than one tRNA (with a specific anti-codon) for a particular amino acid; and 'wobble' base-pairing, i.e. permitting non-standard base-pairing at the 3rd anti-codon position. Lineage: Bacteria; Pseudomonadati; Pseudomonadota; Alphaproteobacteria; Rhodobacterales; Paracoccaceae. The record is from RNAcentral.